Molecule: long non-coding RNA, 544 nt
Organism: Vidua chalybeata
Lineage: Eukaryota; Metazoa; Chordata; Aves; Passeriformes; Viduidae
Exons: 4
Source: RefSeq, a predicted model, not a curated record
GAGUUGGAGACAAAAAAUAGUUUAAAGUUCAUGACUGUCUGGAAAAGCUAUCGGAGGAAGGCACUUGGUCACCAGAUUGCCUGGCAUGUAGGUUUUGAAUAGCUAAUCCUCUUUUUUUUUCCCCUGAGGAAGAGGAUGUGUUUAAGAAUCAUUUGGAGAGGCCUAAGGUUGCAUUUUUCCAUUGCUUACAUGGCUGCACUGGGGACUCAAAGAAGUUUUCUUCAAGAGAAGAUCUGAGCUCUUUAAGGAAUAGGAAAGAAUGAAAUGUGCUGAUAAGCAAGGCAUGGAUGAGACAGGCAGAGGCAUACAGGCUUUGAAUAAGCAGGGAACUUUACCAUGCACGCAUCCUGGAUCUUUUUGUACCAGGAUGAUUGGUGUGCCCCGUCCUUGUGGUCAACUGCUUUGCCUGGAAGAUUAAUGGCAGAGGAGAAAAUGUGAGGGAAGGGCAGCCUUUGCAGAUCUCUGUGCUUCUGCCUGUGGCUGAAGCAACACUAUGCCAUGGGUGAGUGCCAGCACACUGUCCGUGAUGCUCAGGUGCUGCUUG